GAUUACGAGCAUAUUGCUUACAGCUGUCAUAAAGUUACUAAAUGCAAAAUGUAAACAUGAAAUUUAUUUUUUAAGAUACAUCCAUCUGUGUUGGGAUAAUAAUUGGACUUUUUUAGUACCCGGACUGGCCACCAGGCGGCGCCAUUUUACUUUUAAAAAAAGUGGGGGGUACCCUCCUAAAAUGGCCUUAAUAAUUAUAGCGCUCGCAGUAUAAUGGUGAUAACCUUUGGGCGGGUAAAUUUAUUUUAACAAGCCACAUGAAUAAGCAAAAAAAUGUGAGCCGUCAUGGGACGCCUGGCAGAUGUGAAACAUCGACAUUAUUUUGUAAAAGUAAUAUGCAGAAAAGAACAGAUUGUAAUAGGAACUAAAUAUGUCAUAAUGAUAAAAUAAAAUAUUACGAUUUUUUUUCCAGAUAA
Cotesia glomerata is the source of this 416-nucleotide long non-coding RNA. RefSeq lists it as uncharacterized. NCBI's taxonomy places the organism in Eukaryota, Metazoa, Arthropoda, Insecta, Hymenoptera, Braconidae. The record is from RefSeq and is a predicted model, not a curated record. The transcript has 2 exons.